RNAcentral lists this ribosomal RNA (81 nucleotides) under Alphaproteobacteria bacterium. RNAcentral describes it as "partial 23S ribosomal RNA". The record is from RNAcentral. Lineage: Bacteria; Pseudomonadati; Pseudomonadota; Alphaproteobacteria.
UCUCAAGCGCAAGGUAAGGGCAUCUGGUGGAUGCCUUGGCGCGCGGAGGCGAUGAAGGACGUGGCACGCUGCGAUAAGCCG